GUAAAUGUAGUUUAAACAAAACAUUAGAUUGUGAAUCUAAAAAUAGGCAAUAAACCGCCUCAUUCACC
RNAcentral lists this transfer RNA (68 nucleotides) under Lemniscomys barbarus (Barbary striped grass mouse). RNAcentral's name for it is "tRNA-His". It matches the Rfam family "tRNA". Rfam says of the family: Transfer RNA (tRNA) molecules are approximately 80 nucleotides in length. Lineage: Eukaryota; Metazoa; Chordata; Mammalia; Rodentia; Muridae. The record is from RNAcentral.